Molecule: transfer RNA, 84 nt
Filed under: Gemmatimonadaceae bacterium
Lineage: Bacteria; Pseudomonadati; Gemmatimonadota; Gemmatimonadia; Gemmatimonadales; Gemmatimonadaceae
Also listed under: 1 other name
Description: tRNA-Leu
Rfam family: tRNA
About the family: Transfer RNA (tRNA) molecules are approximately 80 nucleotides in length.
Source: RNAcentral
GCCCGGGUGGCGGAAUUGGUAGACGCACGGGACUCAAAAUCCCGCGGGCUUCGGUCCUUACGAGUUCGAUUCUCGUCCCGGGUA